This 427-nucleotide ribosomal RNA is filed under the name uncultured bacterium. Its description in RNAcentral is "bacterial SSU rRNA". It matches the Rfam family "Bacterial small subunit ribosomal RNA", at positions 958 to 1392 of the family's 1533-position model. The record is from RNAcentral.
AACGCGAAGAACCUUACCAGGUCUUGACAUCCCGUGAAUAACCUAGAGAUAGGCGAAGCCCUUCGGGGCACGGAGACAGGUGGUGCAUGGUUGUCGUCAGCUCGUGUCGUGAGAUGUUGGGUUAAGUCCCGCAACGAGCGCAACCCUUACUAUUAGUUGCUACGCAAGAGCACUCUAAUGGGACUGCCGUUGACAAAACGGAGGAAGGUGGGGAUGACGUCAAAUCAUCAUGCCCUUUAUGACCUGGGCUACACACGUAAUACAAUGGCGAUUAACAGAGGGGCGCGAAACCGCGAGGUGGAGCAAAUCCCCAAAAAUCGUCUCAGUUCGGAUCGCAGGCUGCGACUCGCCUGCGUGAAGUCGGAAUUGCUAGUAAUCGCGGAUCAGCAUGCCGCGGUGAAUACGUUCCCGGGUCUUGUACACACCG